AUUGAACGCUGGCGGCAUGCCUUACACAUGCAAGUCGAACGGCAGCACGGGUGAUUGCACCUGGUGGCGAGUGGCGAACGGGUGAGUAAUACAUCGGAACAUGUCCUGUAGUGGGGGAUAGCCCGGCGAAAGCCGGAUUAAUACCGCAUACGAUCUACGGAUGAAAGCGGGGGACCUUCGGGCCUCGCGCUAUAGGGUUGGCCGAUGGCUGAUUAGCUAGUUGGUGGGGUAAAGGCCUACCAAGGCGACGAUCAGUAGCUGGUCUGAGAGGACGACCAGCCACACUGGGACUGAGACACGGCCCAGACUCCUACGGGAGGCAGCAGUGGGGAAUUUUGGACAAUGGGCGAAAGCCUGAUCCAGCAAUGCCGCGUGUGUGAAGAAGGCCUUCGGGUUGUAAAGCACUUUUGUCCGGAAAGAAAUCCUUGGCCCUAAUACGGUCGGGGGAUGACGGUACCGGAAGAAUAAGCACCGGCUAACUACGUG
This 486-nucleotide ribosomal RNA is filed under the name uncultured bacterium. Its description in RNAcentral is "partial 16S ribosomal RNA". It matches the Rfam family "Bacterial small subunit ribosomal RNA", at positions 30 to 507 of the family's 1533-position model. The record is from RNAcentral.